CUGCCCCCGCGCAGGGCCCCUCGGGCCGCGGCGGCCCCGCUGCUCCCCCGUGGUGCCGGCUGACCCCCGCCCGCCGCCCUUUCGCCUUGCUGACAGCUGUCCCGACCGCUGGGCGCGGGCGGCUCGCUGUAGACCCCUCCCGCCGGCAAAAACAAGGGGAUACUGGAGACACUGAGACGUUAACGCCGCUCUGGGAGGCUCCUCUCUCCUUCUUAAUACGGCGGCUGGGACAAGGAAGCAGACUGGCCCCCGAAAGCAGUAGUAAACUAAGAAAUUCGUUCGUUUAAAAGGAAUACGGUGCAAGAGCUUUCUAGAUUGUUCUCUGCUCCCACAAUGGUUAGGAAAUAAUUAGCUUACAAAAGGAAAACAGGGCCCUCAAGGUGUUUGCAUCAUUUCAGGAGGGAGAGCUUUCAGAAAACCACCAAAUUUUGCAAGAAUUGCCAUGAAGUCGGAAGAGGUAGCAAUAGUGCUGUCAUGGAGACAAGGCUUGGCAUCGCCCACUUUUCCAUUUACCUCCCCCCCCCCCCGGGAGUCGCCAGUCCGAGUGAGUGAUCAUAAUAAUUAAUAGCGUUUAUACAUAUUCAGAGUGCUUUACAAACAAUACCUAAUCUCAUUAACUUGUGAAUUGACUUGUUGUUUUUAUCCUAUCCUAGAAUUAAGAUGGUUAUUGCUUCUUUCACAUCCUGGAAAGAUGGAAUCAGUAAUUUGUUCAUAUACAGGCUAAUCUAUUGCUGCCAUCCGGUAUAUGGCCACCUGCUAUGCGUACUUCCUUACUUCUAAUAGAGCUGCAGACUGCCGAGAAUAUAGAUACCAGGAUCCAAGACACCUGAGCAGUCCAGAUUAAAUGAGCAGGCUGAAAAGAUAGCACUGACAUGGUAUCGAGCUCAUUCAGUUUGAACUGGCGUGAAUGAAAGGAAAAUGAAGUGCCAAACGCCACCCCUCUGCAAAGUUUUCAGCUGAUUCUUCCUCCUGCACAGAAGAAAUCAAGGAUUUCACCUCAUCAUGAUUCCCCAGAGCUCCACAGAAGGGGGCUCUUCUGGCUCCAGAGAUCUGCGCAUGACAAGAGAGGGGACAGCAGGAGACACUGGGACUCAGAAAGGUGCACAUCUUCCCUGCUUUCUCACCUCCACAGUUUGCAGCAUACAGUCAUGAGCAGAGGUUCUGCUUUUGUGUUGAUUUUCUGUUCCCGGCAAACUGAGUGCCUCGGGAAGGAGGGAGCUAGCAUACCAAGUUCCUG
RNAcentral lists this long non-coding RNA (1237 nucleotides) under Apteryx rowi (Okarito brown kiwi). Its description in RNAcentral is "lncRNA (ENSARWG00000003565.1)". The record is from RNAcentral. Lineage: Eukaryota; Metazoa; Chordata; Aves; Apterygiformes; Apterygidae.